UACGUAGGGUGCAAGCGUUAAUCGGAAUUACUGGGCGUAAAGCGUGCGCAGGCGGUUUUGUAAGUCAGAUGUGAAAUCCCCGGGCUUAACCUGGGAACUGCGCUUGUAACUGAUAGGCUUGAGUGUGGCAGAGGGGGGUGGAAUUCCACGUGUAGCAGUGAAAUGCGUAGAGAUGUGGAGGAACACCGAUGGCGAAGGCAGCCCCCUGGGCUAACACUGACGCUCAUGCACGAAAGCGUGGGGAGCAAACAGG
This 253-nucleotide ribosomal RNA is filed under the name uncultured bacterium. RNAcentral's name for it is "partial 16S ribosomal RNA". It matches the Rfam family "Bacterial small subunit ribosomal RNA", at positions 524 to 776 of the family's 1533-position model. The record is from RNAcentral.